RNAcentral lists this ribosomal RNA (615 nucleotides) under Triticum aestivum (bread wheat). RNAcentral's name for it is "partial small subunit ribosomal RNA". Lineage: Eukaryota; Viridiplantae; Streptophyta; Magnoliopsida; Poales; Poaceae. The record is from RNAcentral.
AUGCAAAUUAGAGUCCAAAACAAGAGGAAAAGCGUUAGGAAAAGUAGAUACAUUGGAGACGUAUCAAAGUCCUUCCCCAACAAGAACAACUUCACCAAGAAGCCUCCUCCUAAGGGGUUGGUGGCACAAGAAGAGUACAAUGAGGAUGAUGAUGAUGACGAUGAAGACGGUGAUACGGUUGCCAUGGCCUCCGUUGCCAUUGCAACAACUCCACGGGUGUCCCUCUUCGACUCACCCAACGAGAACAUCACCGCCAAGUGCCUCAUGGCCAAAGCCACCAACAAGGUAACCCCCAACAUCAAAACCACCAUCACUACUAAUCCCUCUUUGACGGAUUGCAUUGAUGAAAGUGAGGGGUCUAAUGAGGAAGAAAAUGAAUUUGAGUCUUUUAUGAGUAAGCUCAAGGGUAAAUCCAAGAAGCACUUUGUUGCUCUCUUGGAACAACUUGGUGAAGCCAAUGACAUUAUCGAGGCUCACGAAGACACCAUCUCUAAGAUGGAGGGGCAUAGUCGUGACUAUGCCGAUGAGAUAUCGGAUCUCUCUAAUGCGCUUGAGGAAGAGCGUGGUCAUCGUUUGGCUCUUGAGGAGUCACACAACGAUGAUCAUGCAAAAUGA